GACGAACGCUGGCGGCGUGCUUAACACAUGCAAGUCGAACGGUGAACGAGGGAGCUUGCUCCCUCCGGAUCAGUGGCGCACGGGUGAGUAACACGUGAGCAAUCUGCCCCGAACUCUGGGAUAAGCGUUGGAAACGACGUCUAAUACCGGAUACGACGCGGUAGGGCAUCCUCUCCGCGUGGAAAGAACUUCGGUUCGAGAUGAGCUCGCGGCCUAUCAGCUUGUUGGUGAGGUUACGGCUCACCAAGGCGACGACGGGUAUCCGGCCUGAGAGGGUGACCGGCCACACUGGGACUGAGACACGGCGCAGACUCCUACGGGAGGCAGCAGUGGAGAAUAUUACACAGUUGGCGCAAGCCUGAUGCAGCAGCGCCGCGUGAGGGACGACGGCCUUCGGGUUGUAAACCUCUUGUAGCAGGGAAGAAGCGAGAGUGACGGUACCUGCAGAAAAAGCACCGGCUAACUACGUG
RNAcentral lists this ribosomal RNA (470 nucleotides) under uncultured bacterium. Its description in RNAcentral is "partial 16S ribosomal RNA". It matches the Rfam family "Bacterial small subunit ribosomal RNA", at positions 28 to 507 of the family's 1533-position model. The record is from RNAcentral.